Molecule: long non-coding RNA, 1037 nt
Filed under: Exaiptasia diaphana
Lineage: Eukaryota; Metazoa; Cnidaria; Anthozoa; Actiniaria; Aiptasiidae
Description: uncharacterized LOC110237781, transcript variant X2
Source: RNAcentral
UUUGCAUUCAGGUUGAAGAUAAUACGACUACCCGUGCAAUGCUGUAUUUCGNAGGGACGGAGCCCAUGACCGACAAGCGUAAAACAAUAGGCACACGUGAUGCCCACCGUUUCAAAGGAUGUACCAUCUUUCUCUCACACAGUCUCUAUACCAAUCGGCCAAAUGGCCAAUAAAGAAAGCACACAUCUGAACAAUUGGCUUGCAAAUGGCACGUUUGUACAUUGGAUCGAUCAAAUUGGGCCUGUAGCAUUUGAGACCAUGGCACUUCAUAAAUUGGACGAUACAGAUUAGUUUAAAUCCCUCUGGAAGAUUGAGUUUCAUAUUCCGUUCAGUUAAGGAUUNUGUUUCAUUGAUUGGACCGAUGUUAUAACAUGAUUUGAACGAUUUAUAUCAAGUCCAGCUGCAUCAGAAAAACAAGCGAACGUCAGCUACGGAAAAACCCCGGACGUGACGCAGGCGACGGAGUAAGGAUGAUGUCGCUCAUCCUGUUGCCAAGAUGAAAAAGCCAGGGAAAAAGCCAGCUUAUUUGACAAAAAAGACGAUUUUCGUGGCAUUGAGAUUUGAAUAGAGCGGACUGCCUAUAGUCAUUGUAUUGAGACCUUGGUGCAUAGAAGCGUGGAAAGUACACGUGCCAGACUUGAAAUUCUUAUGUUUUACUGACAAGACUAAACAAUGAACAACAGCCAUCCUCAACUUCACAGAAAAAAAAAAUCAAAUCACGCUCUUCUCGUAAUCAAUUAAUACUCCACGAAUAAAAUCACGAAGAAUUCUAAUGACACUUUAGUGGUUCUGGAUUACUUUUACAAGGGCCUCUGUGUUCGUCUCAUUGAUAUUUGAAUCUGUAUAAAUUGUACAAUGUAUAUUAUUGUUCCUGGUCAAGUUUGGAUCAUAAUUAAAAAAAAACCCGAAAAAUGUAAAGUUCAAUUGCUAUUUCUAGAAUAAUUUCGAGGUUAAAUGACUGUGAAGCCCUAAACGUUUAGUGCGAUGUGUGUAGAAAUAUAACGCUUUGUUUAGAAUUAAAAUUACUGUCAGCUGUA